Molecule: ribosomal RNA, 793 nt
Filed under: uncultured Methanosaeta sp.
Lineage: Archaea; Methanobacteriati; Methanobacteriota; Methanomicrobia; Methanotrichales; Methanotrichaceae
Description: bacterial SSU rRNA
Rfam family: Archaeal small subunit ribosomal RNA
Source: RNAcentral
ACUGCUCAGUAACACGUGGACAACNUACCCUCCGGACGGGUAUAAACCCGGGAAACUGGGUAUAAUCCCCGAUAGAUCUCGGUCGCUGGAAAGCCCCGAGAUCGAAAGCUCCGGCGCCAGAGGAUGGGUCUGCGGCCUAUCAGGUAGUAGUGGGUGUAGCGUACCUACUAGCCUACGACGGGUACGGGUUGUGAGAGCAAGAGCCCGGAGAUGGAUUCUGAGACACGAAUCCAGGCCCUACGGGGUGCAGCAGGCGCGGAAACUUUACAAUGCCGGCAACGGCGAUAAGGGGACCUCGAGUGCCAGGUUACAAAUCUGGCUGUCGUGAUGCCUAAAAAGCAUUGCAUAGCAAGGGCCGGGCAAGACCGGUGCCAGCCGCCGCGGUAACACCGGCGGCUCGAGUGGUAACCGUUAUUAUUGGGCCUAAAGGGUCUGUAGCCGGCCAGAUAAGUCUCUUGAGAAAUCCAGCAGCUCAACUGUUGGGCUUUCAGGAGAUACUGUCUGGCUCGAGGCCGGGAGAGGUGAGAGGUACUUCAGGGGUAGGGGUGAAAUCUUGUAAUCCUUGAAGGACCACCAGUGGCGAAGGCGUCUCACCAGAACGGACCUGACGGCAAGGGACGAAAGCUAGGGGCACGAACCGGAUUAGAUACCCGGGUAGCCCUAGCCGUAAACGAUACUCGCUAGGUGUCGGCCACGGUGCGACCGUUGUCGGUGCCGUAGGGAAGCCGUGAAGCGAGCCACCUGGGAAGUACGGCCGCAAGGCUGAAACUUAAAGGAAUUGGCGGGGGAGCAC